GGGAUGUGGCUCAGUGGUACAGUGUUUGCCUAGCAUGCACAAGGCCCUGGGGUCAAUCCCUAGCACACA
This 69-nucleotide transfer RNA is filed under the name Marmota monax (woodchuck). RNAcentral's name for it is "tRNA.Ala". Lineage: Eukaryota; Metazoa; Chordata; Mammalia; Rodentia; Sciuridae. The record is from RNAcentral.